UGGGGAAUUUUGGACAAUGGGCGAAAGCCUGAUCCAGCAAUGCCGCGUGUGUGAAGAAGGCCUUCGGGUUGUAAAGCACUUUUGUCCGGAAAGAAAUCCUUGGCUCUAAUACAGUCGGGGGAUGACGGUACCGGAAGAAUAAGCACCGGCUAACUACGUGCCAGCAGCCGCGGUAAUACGUAGGGUGCAAGCGUUAAUCGGAAUUACUGGGCGUAAAGCGUGCGCAGGCGGUUUGCUAAGACCGAUGUGAAAUCCCCGGGCUCAACCUGGGAACUGCAUUGGUGACUGGCAGGCUAGAGUAUGGCAGAGGGGGGUAGAAUUCCACGUGUAGCAGUGAAAUGCGUAGAGAUGUGGAGGAAUACCGAUGGCGAAGGCAGCCCCCUGGGCCAAUACUGACGCUCAUGCACGAAAGCGUGGGGGAGCAAACAGGAUUAGAUGCCCCUGGUAGUCCACGCCCUAAACGAUGUCAACUAGUUGUUGGGGAUUCAUUUCCUUAGUAACGUAGCUAACGCGUGAAGUUGACCGCCUGGGGAGUACGGUCGCAAGAUUAAAACUCAAAGGAAUUGACGGGGUCAUAGCUGUUUCCU
Molecule: ribosomal RNA, 587 nt
Filed under: uncultured bacterium
Lineage: Bacteria
Description: partial 16S ribosomal RNA
Rfam family: Bacterial small subunit ribosomal RNA
Source: RNAcentral